Molecule: long non-coding RNA, 2681 nt
Organism: Rhinopithecus roxellana (golden snub-nosed monkey)
Lineage: Eukaryota; Metazoa; Chordata; Mammalia; Primates; Cercopithecidae
Exons: 3
Source: RefSeq, a predicted model, not a curated record
UCCUUUGUCCUUUACAAUAUCGCGUGCUAGAACCCCUUAGAAAAUCAGUUAUUUAGAUGAGAAAGUCCAGCCCUGUACCUGAAGAGGCCAGUUCUGUAUAGCGGAAAAAAUGAAACUGGGGACAGGCUGACCAGAUAUCAGAGAUCUCCAUGACCCACCUCCAGGAGAAUGAGAUCGUGGUGUUCAGGGCAGCUGCAGAUGGGCCUAGGCCCACUUUCUGGUGACUCAGUACAAGGCAGAACAAGAGAAAACAGCAAAACAGCAAGAGAGCUGGAGGCAGUAGAGAACCUUGGAAAGAACAGACGACUUGGUGCUAGAGCCCUUGCUUCUUUUCUGCCCUUUACCGCUGUUUAAUUGUGUGAUCUGGGCCACAGUUUCCAAUCUCUAAAACAAAGAUGGUCCUAGAUGAUUGCUAAGGAGAGUUCUAGCUCUGAUGUUUUAGAGUUCAGUAAAGAACUUCCGGCACAGUAGCAAGGACGUAUGAAAUAGGUAUCUCCCAUCCAAGUACUGACCAGACUCAAGCCUGCUUAGUUUCUAAGAUCAGAAAAGAUCAGGCACUGCAGGGUGGUACGGCCAUAGACUAAAACAAUUAUCUAAGAACAUUUGUAGUGUUUCCUUCCCAGGGAUGUGAAAACCCAGACAAGAUUCUUGAUCAUCUCAGAUAGCUUGAGAGGUCCUAUCUGGAGCCAGGGUCAUAAAUCAGAUGACUUCUCAGACCCAUUCCAGCCCUGGGAAUCUGUUGAUCUAGGAUAAAACAGCUGGGAAGACAGCUCAGAACAAAUUCAAGGACUGAGUGAGUUAACAGGCAUUCCUGACCUCUCCACAGGUAGGAGUGGGGGCACCCCAAUGUAAUUGACAGUGAAAUCAGCAGGGAGCCCAGUGUCUUUGCCACCUGAAACUUCAUGUAGUCAGAGCUUUUGCCAGGGCUUUCCUGCCUCUGCUUGUGUUAGUCGGACUAGGCUAGGCUGUAGUAAUAAAUAGGCCACCCAGAUGCAGCAGCUUAACACCAUAUGUGUUUCAUUCUUGUUCCCUUGACGGCCUUAGACACUGAUGUUCAGCUCAAUAGGCUGCAUGAAGAAGCUGUCCCAUUGAGCUGAUCAUCAGUGUGUAAGGCUGUUAAAGGAAUAGGAAUCCACAUUAUGAAUCCACGUUAUGGUGGGUCUGCCAUACCCUACUAUGGCUUCCAAAGUUGCUCUGGGAAUUGGAUCCCAGUCAGCCAGAGGUGAAAAGAACGUGGUGGUGUGAGCAGAGGAGGUUUUGGUGGGCCCGGUCUGGAAGUACCUCAUCUCCUCUUACAUUCCACUGGAGAGAGCAUGGACACAUGGCUCACCCAACUGCACAGGAGGCUGGGAAAUGUAGUCUAACCACAGAGGCAAAGAAGGGGAGAAGGGAUUUGGGUAGACCACUAACAAUCUCUGCCCUACCUCUAGAUAUCAGUAGAGCAGGUAAAGAAAGGGAGAGUAAAAAGAUUCAUCUUUUGGUCUCCGUUUCCUUCUUUAUGAGGAUGUUGAAUCAAAUGAUCUCUCAAGGCCACCUAAUCUAACAUUCAGUGGUAUGAAGGGGCCAUGAAAUGUCCUUCCACACCAAAGUGAACAAACUAUACAGGUUCCUGCCACAGCGGAUCUGCGGCUUGACUGGUAGACUGAACAGAGAGGACCUUGGGUUCUCUCUAAGUUCUGUUCCGAAGCUAUUCUCAUUCCUUGGCCAAGUCGGGUGAUCUCUAUUGAUCUGUCUCCUUAGCUGCCCAGUGGGGAGAAAAAUCAUUUCCCUCUGCUGCCUCUUGGGGUUGGUCUGAGGAUAUGAUGAGAUCACUGCCCAGAAGGCACCAGGAACUCUUCUGACUAAAGUGGUCUGCAUGGUGCCCUUAUUGUAGCCAGAGCCUUUUCUAACACUACAUUCUAACCUGGCCCCACGGUGUGCCCAGUUCCUGAGGAUGGUGCCUGUGCAGGAUUUGUGGUCACAUAGGUUGGCAUUGCCAUGGCUGGGAUGCAGAGGCAGAUGCACAGCAGUAAUGUCCCAGGGACACUCAGGACUCUGGUGCCUGAGGGUACCUGAGGGCUGACAGAUCAGUUAAUAGACACCUGGAUUGAGCUCCACCUAGGGACAGGUAGGUUGGGCCCAGGGAUCAGUAUCUCCACUAGAGCAUCUGGUGGCUUCUCUGUUAUCUGCUCAUCAUCCUAUUAAACCCUGAGUCUGUUUACUUAUCCUCUCAUCUGCUUGUUCCCUCCCACUCUUAAUCUACAAGGUGCUUUCUGGGAUGCUCUGUGCUUUAUUCAUCUUUAUAUCCUCAGAAUCCAACAUAAGACUUUCUUUUAUUUAGUCAUUCAACAAAUACUUACUGAGUGACUGCACUGUGCCCGGCACUGUGCUGAGUGCUGGGCAAGUCUGUGACAUCAUAGAGCUUAAGGGUUUGAAGGAGACAGACAGUAAUUAGAAGAGUAUAAAUGUAAACUUGUCAUGUGUAAGUGCCUGAAGGAGAGCACUCAGGAGGGUGUGUUGGGUUUUCCCAUGGACAUGAAAUCCCAUGGACAUGAAAUUGAACCCUGAUCUGAAAGCUGUGUAGGCUGUUAACCAGGCAAAGCAGACUGGGGAGAGGAUGUACAAGGCCCCUGAGACAGGAGGAAGUAGGAUACAUGCAAAGGACUGGAAGAAAGCUAUUGUGACUGAGAUAGAGAGUGAGG